RNAcentral lists this ribosomal RNA (546 nucleotides) under Conus lenavati. RNAcentral describes it as "partial 12S ribosomal RNA". Lineage: Eukaryota; Metazoa; Mollusca; Gastropoda; Neogastropoda; Conidae. The record is from RNAcentral.
AACCAAGGAAUUUAGUCAUUUUUUUCGGUAAAAAGACAGUUAGGCAGAAAUAAGAUCACUAGACCUUUAGUACAGGGGUAAAAUCUAAAUACUAAGAGUUAUAUCAGGUGUGGUUUAUUUUAGAUGCUGAAUCUGUGACGACUUUAAGGGAAACUGGGAUUGGAUACCCCAUUAUUUUUAGUAGUAAAUUUAAUCUAAGUUUACCAGAGUACUACGAAUAAAAAAUUUAAAACUCAAAGAGCUUGGCGGUGUUUUAGACCUCUCAGGGGAACCUGUCUCAUAAUCGACAAUCCACGUUAAACCCGACCCUUUAUAGCAAUUCAGCCUGUAUACCGUUGUCGUCAGGUAACUUCUUAAAAUGUAGUAGUUAGCUCGAGAAUAUUAUUAAUUAGUACGUCAAAUCAAGGUGCAGCUAAUAAAAGGGAGAGGAUGGGUUACAAUUAUAUAUUUAUAAUUACGAAAAACAUUUUAAAUAAAGGUGCUGGAAGGAGGACUUGAAAGUAAUUUUGAUUAUAUAAACAGAAUGAAUAAGGCUCUGAAACGUGC